RNAcentral lists this ribosomal RNA (480 nucleotides) under uncultured bacterium. RNAcentral describes it as "partial 16S ribosomal RNA". It matches the Rfam family "Bacterial small subunit ribosomal RNA", at positions 28 to 507 of the family's 1533-position model. The record is from RNAcentral.
GAUGAACGCUAGCGGCAGGCCUAACACAUGCAAGUCGAGGGAGAGGUUACCUUCGGGUAACCAAAACCGGCGCACGGGUGCGUAACGCGUAUACAAUCUGCCUUUCACAUAGGGAUAGCCCGAAGAAAUUUGGAUUAAUACCUAAUGGUAUAUAAGAGCGGCAUCGUUUUUAUAUUAAAGCUACGGUGGUGAAAGAUGAGUAUGCGUUCUAUUAGCUAGUUGGAGAGGUAACGGCUCCCCAAGGCGACGAUAGAUAGGGGUUCUGAGAGGGAUGUCCCCCACACUGGUACUGAGAUACGGACCAGACUCCUACGGGAGGCAGCAGUGAGGAAUAUUGGACAAUGGUCGGAAGACUGAUCCAGCCAUGCCGCGUGCAGGAUGAAGGUCCUAUGGAUUGUAAACUGCUUUUGUAAGGGAAGGAUAAGGAGUACGUGUACUUUGAUGACGGUACCUUACGAAUAAGCAUCGGCUAACUCCGUG